Molecule: transfer RNA, 70 nt
Filed under: Neotermes castaneus (southern dampwood termite)
Lineage: Eukaryota; Metazoa; Arthropoda; Insecta; Blattodea; Kalotermitidae
Description: tRNA-Val
Source: RNAcentral
CAGACUUUUCCUGUUAGUUGGGGUUUUCAUUUACAUUGAAUUUUUUGUCGUGCAAUUCGAUCUUGUCUGA